This 163-nucleotide non-coding RNA is filed under the name chicken gut metagenome. RNAcentral describes it as "glmS glucosamine-6-phosphate activated ribozyme". It matches the Rfam family "glmS glucosamine-6-phosphate activated ribozyme aptamer", at positions 12 to 152 of the family's 167-position model. From Rfam's summary of the family: This entry contains a glucosamine-6-phosphate activated ribozyme that is found in the mRNA for GlmS. GlmS is an enzyme that uses fructose-6-phosphate and glutamine to generate glucosamine-6-phosphate. The record is from RNAcentral.
AAAAGUUAGCGCCAGAACAUAGUAAUAUUUAUUAACAAUGUUUUUUACAUACUAUGUUGACGAGGGUUCAGAGUUAUCGAAGUUUUCGGCGGAUGCUCUGAUGGGGAGUUACACUCAUUAUUGAUAUUACAAAAUUAAGUAGUGAUACUUAUUUACAAAAAAU